UACGUAGGGUGCGAGCGUUAAUCGGAAUUACUGGGCGUAAAGCGUGCGCAGGCGGUUUGUUAAGACAGUUGUGAAAUCCCCGGGCUCAACCUGGGAACUGCAAUUGUGACUGGCAGGCUAGAGUUUGGCAGAGGGGGGUGGAAUUCUUGGUGUAGCAGUGAAAUGCGUAGAUAUCAGGAGGAACACCGAUGGCGAAGGCAGCCCCCUGGGCCAUGACUGACGCUCAUGCACGAAAGCGUGGGGAGCAAACAGG
RNAcentral lists this ribosomal RNA (253 nucleotides) under uncultured bacterium. RNAcentral describes it as "partial 16S ribosomal RNA". It matches the Rfam family "Bacterial small subunit ribosomal RNA", at positions 524 to 776 of the family's 1533-position model. The record is from RNAcentral.